This 274-nucleotide ribosomal RNA is filed under the name uncultured bacterium. RNAcentral's name for it is "partial 16S ribosomal RNA". It matches the Rfam family "Bacterial small subunit ribosomal RNA", at positions 523 to 796 of the family's 1533-position model. The record is from RNAcentral.
AUACGGGGGGAGCAAGCGUUAUUCGGAAUCACUGGGCGUAAAGGACGCGUAGGCGGGUUAUUAAGUCGGGUGUGAAAUCCAAUGGCUCAACCAUUGAACUGCAUUCGGAACUGAUAACCUAGAGUAUGGAAGGGGCAGGUGGAAUUAGUGGUGUAGGGGUAAAAUCCGUAGAUAUCACUAGGAAUACCGAAAGCGAAGGCGACCUGCUGGGACAUUACUGACGCUGAGGCGUGAAGGCGUGGGGAGCAAACAGGAUUAGAAACCCCAGUAGUCC